UAAUUAGGUUCCCACUGUCUCUCUGGUACCACAGCGAAGAAGAAAGAACACUCUUUUCUCUCUCUAUCGCUCUCUCUCUCUCUGGCUUUCGAAGAUCUUCAAAUUGUAAUCAAGAACAAAAAUGGACAACAGCAGUGAAGAAGAGUCAGAUUUUAGUGAAUCAGAGAUCAAUGACUAUGUGGAUAAACCAUAUGAACAGCUGAGGACUGGGAGGCUUGUUGUAAAAACAGCAAAUGGAAUUCUUAGAUGCCCGUUUUGCAUGGGCAAGAAGAAACAAGACUACAAAUAUAAGGAUUUACUCCAGCAUGCUUCUGGAGUGAGUAAAGGUUCUAAAAACAGGAAUGCUAAACAGAAGGCGAACCAUCUUGCUUUAGCAAAAUUUCUGCAGAAUGAGCUAGCUUCUGAAGCAGACCAAGCACCACGUCCAGCUGCACCUACUCCUAUUAGUCAGGAUUCUGAGAAAGAGCUUUAUGUAUGGCCUUGGAUGGGUGUCAUAGUCAAUAUAUUGGUAGGGGAGGACCGAAAGUCGGUCUGUGAUUCAGGAUACUGGAUGAAAAAAUUUGCUAAAUAUAGACCCUUAAAUGUUUGUAUUUUUUGGAAUGAUAAUGAACCAAGAGCUCAGGCAAUAGUUGAAUUCAACAAUGAUUGGAAUGGUUUUGUAAAUGCAACGGACUUUGAAAAAUUGUUUGAGACCAACAAUCAUAGUAAAAAGAAUUGGAAAGCUGAAACAAAUUUGAGCUUGAAUAUUUUUGGUUGGUGCGCACGGGCUGAUGAUUAUAAUUCAAAUGAGCCGAUAGGAGAGUUUCUUCGACAAAGAGGGAAAUUGAGGACUGUCUCAGACAUUGUGAAUGAAGCAACUCAAAGUAGAAAUACUGUUGUGGAGAAUCUGACCCAUGAAAUUGAUUUGACUAAUGAAAAUUUGGAUGAACUGCAAUACAAGUACAAUGAGAAGACAAUGUCUUUAAGUAGGAUGCUUGAAGAGAAAGACCAGCUUCACCAUGCUUUUGUUGAAGAAACUAGAAAGACACAAAGACUUGCACGCGACAAUGUUAGAAGAAUAUUAGAAGAACAAGAAAAACUGCACCAAGAAUUGGAGACGAAGAAAAAGAAACUUGAUUCCUGGAGUAAGCAAUUGAACAAACGUGAAGCAUUGACUGAAAUCGAGAGACAAAAGCUUGAUGAAGAGAAGAAAAAGAAUGAUAUGAGGAACAAUUCGCUCCAAUUAGCUUCUUUGGAACAGAGAAGGGCUGAUGAAAAUGUUUUACGCCUUGUUGAAGAGCAGAAGAGAGAAAAAGAAGAGGCUUUAAGCAAGAUUCUUCAGUUAGAAAAGCAGCUGGAUGCCAAGCAGAAGCUGGAAAUGGAAAUUCAAGAAUUGAAAGGGAAACUACAGGUUAUGAAGCAUCUUGAGGAUCAAGAUGAUGUAGGAGUGCAACAGAAGAUGAAAGAAAUGGAUGAUGAUUUGAAUCAAAAGGUUGAAGAUUUGAAUGAUUUGCAUGAGUUGUAUCGAACUCUAGUUGCUAAGGAGCGUGAAAGCAAUGAUGAGUUACAAGACGCCCGUAAAGAAUUGAUAAGUGGAUUGCAAGAUCAAUCGUCAAAUGUCCGUGUUAAUAUUGGAAUAAAGAGAAUGGGGGAUAUUGAUAUUAAACCAUUCCAGAAUACUUGCAAACAGAAAUUUUCUCCGGAUGAGGCAAUGAUCCAAGCCUCCACUUUAUGCUCCUUGUGGCAGGAUAAUUUGACUGAUCCAAAUUGGCAUCCAUUUAAAGUUGUUACUAUCGACGGGGAUUCCCAGGAAAAUAUUGACGAGGAUGAUGAGAAACUGAAAGGUCUCAAGCAGGAAUGGGGUGAUGAGAUAUACAAUGCCGUUGUUGUUGCCCUUAAAGAAAUGAAUGAAUAUAAUCCAAGUGGUCGUUAUUCUGUACCUGAAUUAUGGAACUUUAAGGAAGGAAGGAAAGCUACUUUGAAGGAGGUCAUCAGCUAUAUUGUUAAGAGUAUCAAGUCACUUAAGCGAAAGAGAACAUGAGAGGAAGAUCCCAGAAGGGAAAGAGAACGCUAGAGGAAGGUGAAGAAUUCGAUGUGAAUUGCUAGGCCUUAUUGCUUGCAACUUAUCCAGUGGGACCUUUUUCCUGUGGUGAAUUGAACAAACAACUCCUAUCCGCGAGGCAAAUUCAUCAUCUUGACUUUUGUUUGUAGUAUGUAGUUCAGAGGUAUCUCAAAGUAGAUAGGAGCAGGCUGCCUGGUGGCAAAAUUCCAACUCUCAAUGCGUUCAACAGCUUUACUUCAAAGGUCAGCUCAUAAUGUAUGGCUUCAAAUUAGAUAAGAACAUAAAAUUUUGCCCAUUAUGAAAUGUUUCUGUUCUUUCAACAUUAGUUCCAAAUGGGCUUAUCAACUUUCCCUAGUUGCUUGUUCUUGUUGAAAUUGUUGAUGGCGAGUACAUCCUGUUUUAUCAUUGCCUUGCUAUAUGCUCUACAUUUUUCAGCUAAAGUUUAAUUAAUUUCAGCAUUUCUA
Molecule: RNA transcript, 2505 nt
Organism: Cucurbita maxima (winter squash)
Lineage: Eukaryota; Viridiplantae; Streptophyta; Magnoliopsida; Cucurbitales; Cucurbitaceae
Gene name: factor of DNA methylation 1-like
Exons: 9
Source: RefSeq, a predicted model, not a curated record